GAUUGAACGCUGGCGGCAUGCUUUACACAUGCAAGUCGAACGCGAAAGCGGGGGGCAACCCUGCCGGUAGAGUGGCGAACGGGUGAGUAAUACAUCGGAACGUAUCCUCGCGUGGGGGACAACCAGUCGAAAGACGGGCUAAUACCGCAUACGCUGGAGACAGGAAAGCAGGGGACCCGCAAGGGCCUUGUGCGCAUGGAGCGGCCGAUGUCUGAUUAGCUAGUUGGUGGGGAAAGGCUCACCAAGGCGACGAUCAGUAGCUGGUCUGAGAGGGAUGAUCAGCCACACUGGGACUGAGACACGGCCCAGACUCCUACGGGAGGCAGCAGU
This 330-nucleotide ribosomal RNA is filed under the name uncultured bacterium. Its description in RNAcentral is "bacterial SSU rRNA". It matches the Rfam family "Bacterial small subunit ribosomal RNA", at positions 27 to 355 of the family's 1533-position model. The record is from RNAcentral.